RNAcentral lists this long non-coding RNA (1434 nucleotides) under Canis lupus familiaris (dog). RNAcentral's name for it is "lncRNA (ENSCAFG00845015385.1)". Lineage: Eukaryota; Metazoa; Chordata; Mammalia; Carnivora; Canidae. The record is from RNAcentral.
GAGCAGCGCUUCCUCCCAGCGAGGGGGGUGGGGGCCGGCACGACUUGCCAGCAGGUCCCUGUCACCCCUCCACCGCCGGCACCCUGCACCUCCCUGGCCUUUCGGCCUCCACCCCACGUCCCACCGCCCGUCUCCCCCCACCCCCCCCCCCCCCCCCACCCCACCCCCACCCCGGGCGGUUUGCUCCCCCACUCACCCGUGUUCCCGGCCGCCCGAAGGGAGCACCUCCCUGCAAACGGACGGGGGAGGAGAGCGCGGGGGGGAGGCGGAGGGAGCGCCCCGGGUGCCCGCGGAGCGGACGGAGCCUCCCGUCCCAGGGCGGGAACCAAAGGGCAGCCAGCGGCUCCCCGGCGCGGCGCCCGGCGGGAGAGGCCCGUGCUGCAGCGCCCCCCGCCGGGACGGAGCUCGCGGGCCCCGGCGGCUGCGGGAGCCUCGGUCCCCAGGUGCCCGCGGCCGGCGCGCCCCUCCCGCCCCUCCCGCCGCUCCCGCCCCGCGCGGCCCGCCCCGCCCCGCCCCGCCCGGCCCGGCCCGGCGCCCCCCGGCGCGCGCCCUCGCACCCACCGUGCACAAGCCGCGGGCGGAGGCGGCGCCCCCGGGGCCGGGGCCCGGCUGCAGGCGCCGUGCCCACGCAGCGCCGCUGCCGCCCGGCCGCCGAGCUCCGCCCGGUGCCCAGGCCCGUCCCGGCCCGGGAGCCGCCGCGGCGCCAGCCCCGCCGCCGCUGCAGCGUCCGCCGCCGCCAGCGCCCCCCGUCGCGGCCGCCGAGCGUCCCUCCCGCAGGCUGUGGCGGGCGGCGGGACGGGUUGCAUCAGCCCCGGCUAUAUAGCGGCCCCUGGGCGGCGGGGAGGGGUCGGGAAUGCGGAACCCGCCGAGCUGCCAGCUCCAGACGUCAGAGGGGGACGGAGAGGAAGGGAAGGAGGGGACAGGGAGGAGGGGGUGUGGAUCCGGAGCUCACACCCGCUGACCUUCACCUCCCCCGCCGCCCCGGGCGCCCUCCGCCCGCCGCCCGCCGCCCCGCGCGCCGCCCCGGGCGCCCACCCCCGGGGAAGCGGGACGCGGCGGCGGUUAUGUAAGAGCAUCCCCGCGCGCAGGGCUCCCAGCGAGACGCGGCCGCCGGCGCCCGGGAGAGGCAGCGGAAGGCGCGGCGGGACGGGCCCCGCAGCAUCCCAGCCUCGCCGGGCCCUCGGCCGCCCCAGCGCUCGCCCCCCGCCCGAGGGCAUUCCGGCACGUUCCCCUCCUCGGACGUGGCAGGACCGAGGGCGAGUGAGGGGAGGACGUGGCGAGCCGGGGCGAAGGCCGGGUGGGCGGAGGGAUCACCCCCACCUUAGCCCACCUGGCGGCGCGGGCGCCCUUCAGCCCCGGGGCUGCCCGCAGCGGGCUGCCCUCCUCCGGGCCUGCGGCCGACCCCGCUGCGCUCCCUGGGACGCCGCAGGCUGA